UGCAGGCACACAGAGGCGACCCAAGGGGAGUAAAUAAGACUUUUUCUUGUACUUCCCGAUCUUGCGCGUCCUUUUCCACAAUAAUAGCAGAGAUGUAUAGGAUCUGUAGAGUCUGUUUGCAUGUAGGCAUGUGUAGUGAUUCUGGGCAUGAAGCUACCGAAAGUGUAAAGAGAGUUUUGACAGUAAUGUGCCUAUUUGAAAGUUGCUGGACCAGAUACAGAGAAAAGGUAGCAUUGGGGCAGGUGGUGGGUUUAGGAGCUGUACAGUAAAAUGAAAAUUUGAAUUUCUGUUGAAAUCUUCCAAGAGAGGAGGCUUUUCUAGCCUGUGGAGUGGGCUUUAGGCAAAACUGACAAACUCUAAUUUUAAUCACUUGAUGCUUUUUAAUUAGGCAGGGAAAUUCUCUUCUAGAUGUUUGAGGGAGUGGCUCUCUCCCAGCGGCACACCCACGUAUCCUACCACAGUGGAGCUUGGGUAAUAUCUUCUUGCUUAAUACUGGUGUGGAGUUUGUAAACACAGCAGAUCCUGUUGUCACCAGUUUGUAGGUGGCUGUGUUUGUUCUGUCUCAGUACAUACCUACUAGCAGAAAUAACGUGCUAUGAGGAGAAUGCUUAAUGAUUUGGCCUGAAAUGUGUUAAGGGUUAAACUCUAAAAAUAAUUUGGUUUUGUUUGUUUGAUGAUGAUUUCAGAUUAAAAAAGAACUUGAGUUUUGAUAACGUUCCUACAAAUUAUUUUCUCAACAGUUUCCGUAUGCAUGGAUAUUACCUGAAUCUUCUUAGCAGAGCUUAAAUUGUGUGUCAGCUUACCCUAGCCAUGAGUGGCUCCAAACCUGAUAUCCUGUGGGCCCCACACCAUGUUGACAGAUUUGUUGUGUGUGAUUCAGAGCUGAGCCUUUAUCACAUUGACUCUGCUGUAAGUUCUGAACUCAAGGCAGGGUCCUUGCGGUUGUCGGAGGAAACUACGGCUACACUACUGUCAAUAAAUUCGGAUACACCGUACAUGAAAUGUGUGGCUUGGUAUCCCAAGUAUGAUCCUGAAUGUCUCCUUGCUGUUGGACAGGCCAAUGGCCGAGUGGUCCUUACCAGCCUCGGGCAAGAUCACAACUCAAAAUCUAAAGAUUUGAUAGGCAAAGAAUUUGUUCCCAAACAUGCUCGGCAAUGCAAUACCCUGGCGUGGAAUCCACUGGAUAGCAAUUGGCUUGCUGCUGGGUUAGAUAAACAUCGGGCUGACUUUUCAGUCCUAAUCUGGGAUAUCAGCAGCAAAUAUGCCCCAGAGACUGCAGUUGCUACAGAAAAAGUAAGGCUUUCAUCAGGAGAUGCAGAAGCAGGCCUGGUAGUAACAAAACCACUGUAUGAAUUGGGACAGAAUGAUGCUUGUCUCUCUCUCUGUUGGCUUCCACGGGAUCAGAAGCUGCUAUUAGCUGGAAUGCAUCGAAAUCUGGCUAUCUUUGAUCUUAGGAACACAAGCCAAAAAAUAUUUGUAAACACCAAGGCUGUCCAAGGAGUGACUGUUGAUCCCUAUUUCCACGAUCGUGUUGCUUCCUUCUAUGAAGGUCAGGUUGCCAUAUGGGAUUUGAGAAAGUUUGAAAAGCCUGUUUUGACCUUGACAGAGCAACCAAAACCCUUAACAAAAGUUGCAUGGUGUCCAACAAGGACUGGACUCUUAGCUACUUUAACAAGGGAUAGUAACAUCAUUAGACUGUAUGACAUGCAGCAUACUCCCACCCCUAUUGGAGAUGAAACUGAGCCGACAAUAAUUGAAAGAAGUGUCCAACCAUGUGAAAAUUACAUUGCUUCAUUUGCCUGGCAUCCCACAAGUCAAAAUCGAAUGGUAGUAGUGACUCCCAACAGGACUAUGUCUGACUUCACCGUUUUUGAAAGAAUUUCUCUUGCAUGGAGCCCGGUGACAUCCUUAAUGUGGGCUUGUGGACGACAUUUGUAUGAGUGUACUGAAGAAGGAAAGGCCAGUUCCUUGGAAAAAGACAUAGCAACCAAAAUGCGCCUCAGAGCUCUGUCAAGGUAUGGUCUUGAUACUGAACAAGUUUGGAGAAAUCACCUCUUAGCUGGAAAUGAAGAUCCUCAGCUGAAAUCGCUUUGGUACACUCUGCAUUUUAUGAAGCAGUAUACUGAAGAUAUGGAUCAAAAACUUACAGGAAACAAAGGUCCCUUAGUUUACGCUGGCAUUAAAUCAAUUGUGAAGUCGUCUUUGGGAACAACAGAGAACCUCAGGCACAGCAGGAGUGGAUCUGAUAGACAGGCAGAUAUUAUUCAAUAUCUGAGUGAGGAGAGAUCUUUGGCUUUGCAGCUCUGUGGGUGGAUAAAGAAGGGAACAGACUUAGAUGUGGAACCUUUCCUAAAUUCAUUGGAACAGGAAGGAGACUGGGAACGAGCUGCUGCUGUAGCACUUUUCAACUUGGACAUACGGCGAGCAAUACAAAUUCUGAAUAAAGGGGCUUCCUCAGGAAAAGGUGAUCUGAACCUUAAUGUAGUAGCAAUGGCUCUGUCAGGCUACACAGAUGAGAAGAACUCACUUUGGAGAGAAAUGUGCAGUACUCUAAGACUGCAGUUGAACAAUCCCUACUUGUGUGCUAUGUUUGCUUUCCUGACGAGUGAGUCCGGUUCAUAUGAUGGUGUUUUGUAUGAAAAUAAUGUAGCUGUACGAGACAGAGUUGCAUUUGCUUGCAAGUUCCUCAAUGAUGCUCAGCUCAACAGGUUUAUUGAAAAGCUGACAAAUGAAAUGAAAGAGGCUGGGAAUUUGGAGGGAAUACUGUUAACAGGGCUGACAAAAGAUGGAGUUGACUUGAUGGAAAGCUAUGUUGACAGAACUGGAGAUGUCCAGACAGCAAGCUAUUGCAUGCUACAGGGUUCUCCAUCAGAUGUACUUAAGGAUGAAAGAGUUCAGUACUGGAUUGAGAACUACAGGAAUCUUUUAGAUGCUUGGAGGUUUUGGCAUAAACGUGCAGAAUUUGAUAUCCAUAGGAGUAAGCUGGAUCCCAGCUCAAAGCCUUUAGCCCAGGUGUUUGUGAGUUGCAAUUUCUGUGGAAAAUCAAUCUCUUACAGCUGUUCAGCUAUUCCUCAUCAGGGGCGAGGGUUUAGCCAGUAUGGAGUCAGCGGUUCACCAACCAAGUCAAAAGUUACGAGCUGUCCUGGUUGCCGUAAGCCCCUUCCCCGCUGUGCACUUUGCCUGAUAAAUAUGGGAACACCAGUUUCCAGCUGUCCAGGAGGAUCCAAGUCAGAUGAAAAAGUGGAUCUUAGCAAAGACAAGAAGUUAGCCCAGUUCAACAACUGGUUUACAUGGUGUCACAACUGUAGGCAUGGUGGACAUGCUGGUCAUAUGCUGAGCUGGUUCAGGGACCAUACCGAGUGCCCAGUUUCUGCCUGCUCUUGUAAGUGUAUGCAGCUGGAUACAACAGGGAAUCUUGUUCCAGCAGAGACUGUCCAGGCAUAAAUACUGUUAGAAAAUGUGUGGCUCUCUAAUGGAUGUCCAUCAUAGUCCAAGCAGAUAAUUUAGACAAAGUGAUGAAUAUAUCCUAGAGAAGAGUUCCUCGAGAAGUCAUGUGACUGUUUCAGUGCAGAGUGCAGGUAAACUAUAGGAGGUUGUAUCUGAUAAAUUUUUAACUUAGUACUGUGAAGAUCUGAAAUCUCAAGGACUAGAGACUUGUAAAUAUUAAGUUUUAAACUACGUGCAGUUUUGACUACAAAAAUAUUUGACGACUUUGAGAUAAUCAGCAUUUCCCUGUACUUCUGAAAUAUACUAGGAAGUGUGGAAUGAACCUGUAUAAAUCCUCCUUCUGGUCUCUAGUGGACACCCAUCUGCUCCAAAUUUUGUGUAAUUGAUCAGAGUAUUUCUAGAUGUGUUACCAGCUGGAAUUAAGAUUAUUUAUUAACUUGAGAGAGCACCAAUGAUAGAUAUUUUGCUAAUUCUGUGCUAGGAGCUAAUUGGUAUUGUUGUCCUUGAUUUUGUAGGCAACAAAAUUCACAGAAAUUAGGGAAAAAACCAAACCUGUUUUAAGGUAUGUGAUAAUAACAUCAGUUUACUUGGUGUGUGUUUAUUUACAGUAUAUGAGUUAUUCAACACUUGUGUGCUAUGAAAUACUAAAUGGAAUGCUAGCAAUAAACUGGUACUAUUUGCCAGGACUGUGAAAAUUAGUGUUUUAAACAGAAUAUACUGUAAUAUACCACUAGUUCUAUGUACUCUAGUGUAGUUUCAAGAAGAUAAAAUGUGGAAAUGUUUUCUGUGGAUGUACAAGAUUACAUUCAAGACUUUGGGUUAUGUUUUCUGAGUUAGCAUUAAUGUUGUAAUACAUCUGCUGCAUUUAUUUUGAUCUAAAAUUGGCCAAGAUUUUUUUUUAAGUUAAAAAUCUAAGAGGUACUUGAUAUUUCUAGGCAUGGGAUAGCAGUUCCUUUUUUUUUUAGAAUAUUUAUUUCUCUUUCCAGUAUUUUUGCACACUUCACAUUGCUGUUGAAGAGCUCUUCAAAAUGUUCUCCAUUUAUAAAUGUAAACUGGGGCUUACAGUAUGAUACCCUAUUUAUAUAAAUACAGGCAAUAAAGGUUUUGGUUUAUGUAAAUGAGGA
This is a non-coding RNA of Sturnus vulgaris (Common starling), 4571 nucleotides long. NCBI's taxonomy places the organism in Eukaryota, Metazoa, Chordata, Aves, Passeriformes, Sturnidae. The record is from RefSeq and is a predicted model, not a curated record.